CAGCCGUAAACUAUGCUCGCUAGGUGUCAGGCAUGGCGCGACCGUGUCUGGUGCCGCAGGGAAGCCGUGAAGCGAGCCACCUGGGAAGUACGGCCGCAAGGCUGAAACUUAAAGGAAUUGGCGGGGGAGCACAACAACGGGUGGAGCCUGCGGUUUAAUUGGACUCAACGCCGAAAAACUCACCAGCAGCGACUGUUACAUGAAAGUCAGGUUGAUGACCUUACUAGAUUUUCAGAGAGGAGGUGCAUGGCGUAGACGUCU
RNAcentral lists this ribosomal RNA (261 nucleotides) under uncultured archaeon. RNAcentral describes it as "partial 16S ribosomal RNA". It matches the Rfam family "Archaeal small subunit ribosomal RNA", at positions 748 to 1009 of the family's 1478-position model. The record is from RNAcentral.